Molecule: ribosomal RNA, 451 nt
Filed under: uncultured bacterium
Lineage: Bacteria
Description: partial 16S ribosomal RNA
Rfam family: Bacterial small subunit ribosomal RNA
Source: RNAcentral
GAUGAACGCUGGCGGCGUGCCUAAUACAUGCAAGUCGAACGAGUUCUUCGGAACUAGUGGCGGACGGGUGAGUAACACGUUGGUACCUACCCCGAAGUGGGGAAUAACUGGCCGAAAGGUCGGCUAAUACCGCAUAAUACCGUAAGGUUAAAGCAGUAAUGCGCUUCGGGAGGGGCCUGCGUCUGAUUAGCUAGUUGGUAGUGUAAUGGACUACCAAGGCGACGAUCAGUAGCUGGAUCGAGAGGUUGACCAGCCACACUGGGACUGAGAUACGGACCAGACUCCUACGGGAGGCAGCAGUAAGGAAUCUUCCACAAUGGACGAAAGUCUGAUGGAGCAACGCCGCGUGCAGGAUGACGGCCUUCGGGUUGUAAACUGCUUUUAUAUGGGAAGAUUAUGACGGUACCAUAUGAAUAAGGACCGGCUAACUACGUGCCAGCAGCCGCAGUAA